This 280-nucleotide ribosomal RNA is filed under the name uncultured prokaryote. Its description in RNAcentral is "partial 16S ribosomal RNA". It matches the Rfam family "Bacterial small subunit ribosomal RNA", at positions 524 to 803 of the family's 1533-position model. The record is from RNAcentral.
UACGUAGGGGCUAGCGUUAUCCGGAUUUACUGGGCGUAAAGGGUGCGUAGGUGGUUUCUUAAGUCAGAGGUGAAAGGCUACGGCUCAACCGUAGUAAGCCUUUGAAACUGGGGAACUUGAGUGCAGGAGAGGAGAGUGGAAUUCCUAGUGUAGCGGUGAAAUGCGUAGAUAUUAGGAGGAACACCAGUUGCGAAGGCGGCUCUCUGGACUGUAACUGACACUGAGGCACGAAAGCGUGGGGAGCAAACAGGAUUAGAUACCCGGGUAGUCCCUGAGCGGG